GAUGAACGCUGGCGGCGUGCUUAACACAUGCAAGUCGAACGGAAAGGCUCCUGCUUGCAGGGGUACUCGAGUGGCGAACGGGUGAGUAACACGUGGGUGAUCUGCCCUGCACUUCGGGAUAAGCCUGGGAAACUGGGUCUAAUACCGGAUAGGACGAUGGUUUGGAUGCCAUUGUGGAAAGUUUUUCGGUGUGGGAUGAGCUCGCGGCCUAUCAGCUUGUUGGUGGGGUAAUGGCCUACCAAGGCGUCGACGGGUAGCCGGCCUGAGAGGGUGUACGGCCACAUUGGGACUGAGAUACGGCCCAGACUCCUACGGGAGGCAGCAGUGGGGAAUAUUGCACAAUAGGCGCAAGCCUGAUGCAGCGACGCCGCGUGGGGGAUGACGGCCUUCGGGUUGUAAACUCCUUUCGCUAGGGACGAAGCGCAAGUGACGGUACCUGGAGAAGAAGCACCGGCUAACUACGUG
Molecule: ribosomal RNA, 465 nt
Filed under: uncultured bacterium
Lineage: Bacteria
Description: partial 16S ribosomal RNA
Rfam family: Bacterial small subunit ribosomal RNA
Source: RNAcentral